This 204-nucleotide long non-coding RNA is filed under the name Actinidia chinensis (golden kiwifruit). Its description in RNAcentral is "long non-coding RNA (ACHI_LNC009027)". Lineage: Eukaryota; Viridiplantae; Streptophyta; Magnoliopsida; Ericales; Actinidiaceae. The record is from RNAcentral.
CACCCCCUUGAGUCGGGGUAUGCCGGUCGAGUACCUUCCCGAAAGGCAGAAGCUUGAUGGUUAAUAGGCAUAUACAUACAAAAUAUUUUCGAAAGAUUCAUAUCUAUUCCAUGGAUUUGAUUUGCAUAGCAUAACAUAAUUUCAUGCAUAUAUCAUAGCAUCAAAAAGUAAUUUACUCUACUUUAGAGAUUAAGGUUACUUACA